This 403-nucleotide ribosomal RNA is filed under the name uncultured Desulfobulbus sp. Its description in RNAcentral is "bacterial SSU rRNA". It matches the Rfam family "Bacterial small subunit ribosomal RNA", at positions 983 to 1382 of the family's 1533-position model. The record is from RNAcentral. Lineage: Bacteria; Pseudomonadati; Thermodesulfobacteriota; Desulfobulbia; Desulfobulbales; Desulfobulbaceae.
GACAUCCCGGAGACCCUUAGGAAACUAGGGGUGCUCCAUCUGGAAGAAUCUGGAGACAGGUGCUGCAUGGCUGUCGUCAGCUCGUGUCGUGAGAUGUUGGGUUAAGUCCCGCAACGAGCGCAACCCUUGCCUUUAGUUGCCAGCAGUUCGGCUGGGCACUCUAAAGGGACUGCCGGUGUUAAACCGGAGGAAGGUGGGGAUGACGUCAAGUCCUCAUGGCCUUUAUGACCAGGGCUACACACGUACUACAAUGGCCGAUACAAAGGGCAGCGACACUGCGAGGUGAAGCCAAUCCCGUAAAAUCGGUCUCAGUCCGGAUUGGAGUCUGCAACUCGACUCCAUGAAGUUGGAAUCGCUAGUAAUCGUGGAUCAGCAUGCCACGGUGAAUACGUUCCCGGGCCUU